This 1714-nucleotide unclassified non-coding RNA is filed under the name Hevea brasiliensis (rubber tree). Lineage: Eukaryota; Viridiplantae; Streptophyta; Magnoliopsida; Malpighiales; Euphorbiaceae. The record is from RNAcentral.
UCUCCGUCCAGCAGCAGCGAUUCUCUCACUUCAUUCCUAAGUUUCUUUUCCCCAAAGGAUUUUGUGCUCUCUUCUUCGUCUUCGUUUUUGUUGCGAAUCGUUUCUAGGGUUUUGCGUGGCUUUGAAGUAGGAAUGGAUUGGGGUAACGUAACAGCAGAGGAUCUGAUCGAUGCCCUUCGCGAGGUCGACUGGUCAUCGCCUCCGCGCCCUCUUUCAGAGUUCUUUUCCCGAUUCACCGUCCCCAAAUCUUCUGCCAAAUGGAACAGUCGCCUCAAGUGCAAUCUCUACUACUAUCGGACUAACUACUUCAUUAUGAUCGUUCUCAUUCUGGGACUGGGUUUUCUUAGGCGGCCACUUGCUAUAGUGGCAGCUCUUUUAACAGCACUUAGCAUUGCAUUUCUGAAUGACAGCUUUGCAGGUACUUUUAGUGAGAAGGUGACAAGAACUGUUAGGCAAUUCUCUCCUCAUUUAGCAGCUAAAAUGAGACCUCCUCUUACACCUGUUAUCCGUGGACGUCCAUCAGCUAAGAGAGCAAUUCAUAUAUGCGGUCGGCCCCGUUGGGUUUUUGUCCUGAUGUUCUCUUCUGUGAGUUUCAUCCUUUGGUAUGUCUCUUGUGGUCUAUUGACUGUCCUAUGGGCGCUUGCCAUUGGUCUUCUUGCCACAAUCCUACAUGCAAGUUUUAGAACACCUAAUCUGAAAGCUCGUCUAAACACAUUCCGUGAAGAAUUUCGUGCUGUUUGGCGGAAUUACAGUGAGCUGUAGCUUUGAUGGAGCUUACUGCAUGCAGGUAAAUCUGAGUUGAAUUAUCUUUGAAGCCAGGCAUAUAGAUGAAUUUAGGCUUAUUAUUUUCCAUGCAUGAUAGUAGCUGUGAAUUCUUGCCCUUGUUGAAAUUUUACUGUCCUGUUACUUGUAUUUGGAAAUUGUCCAUUAGGGUUAAUAUUUAGAUUUUUUUGGGUAUUUGAAAAGUUCUUUCAAUGUCUUAUUGCCACUAAGGUGGAGUAUUUGUAUGCCAGUAUUUGUUUGUAUGGCUGAUACCAGGGUUGAUUGUUUUGAAAUUAGGAAUAAUUAUGUUCAUAUAGAUUUUUUUUUUCACCCAUUGCUGUUAAAGUACAACUUACGCACGAGGCCAGGGAUUAAUUGCUUUCCUACCCUUGAGCUUGCUGCCUUCACCCAGUUGCAUAUGAGGUGACACCUUACUUGUGGAUUUAGCUGCAAAAUUGCUUGUCUUGAGAGGGGGAAAAAGAGAAGAAAAGGAGGAACAAAGGUAUCAAGGACAGAUUGCAGAUCAAGAAAUGCUCCUCCCUCUAUCUAACAUUGCCAGCUUCUUUCAAUUCCUUGCCUGUCUAGUAUUCUUGGCCUUGGCCCUUGUUGAGAAUUAUGGACCCAGGAAUGUGAAUAUCAAAUUGGAAGGCUACACGUUGAACUAGGCAUGAAACUGGGCUCCUUUAUCACCAAAAUGGCUUUAGGCCAUUUUGGUUUGGUUUCCCAACAUGUAUACCCCCUUUAAUUUUCUUUUACACUGCUGAUAUGGGACUUGUUCCAGCAAGUGAUAUUUCAACACUCCCCUCAAGUGACAAUCGUGACAUUCUGUUGAUACUUGAAACUUGAAAUUGAAAUGCAGUGGCAACACUGGAAAUUGAACUAAAACUGGAAUCGGGCCCUAACCUGCAUUGAUGCCGUGUUGAGAAUAAUGGACCCAGGAGUGUGAAUAUCA